Phyllosticta citrichinensis is the source of this 134-nucleotide non-coding RNA. The record is from the annotation of a GenBank genome assembly. Lineage: Eukaryota; Fungi; Ascomycota; Dothideomycetes; Botryosphaeriales; Phyllostictaceae.
GGUGAGGUGGCCGAGUUGGUUAUGGCGCCAGGUUAAGGUCUCAAUCUUAGCAAUUGCAACAGCGCGAUCUACAAUAGUGGAUCCCUUGUUUCCUGGUGGAGCAAUCCGCGCGAGUUCGAGUCUCGUCCUCAUCA